GACGAACCGUGCGAACGUUGUUCGGAAUCACUGGGCUUAAAGGGCGCGUAGGCGGGCGGGUAAGUCGGAGGUGAAAUCCUACAGCUCAACUGUAGAACUGCCUUCGAAACUGCCGGCCUCGAGGGAGGUAGGGGCAUGUGGAACUUCCGGUGGAGCGGUGAAAUGCGUAGAGAUCGGAAGGAACGCCGGUGGCGAAAGCGACGUGCUGGACCUCUUCUGACGCUGAGGCGCGAAAGCUAGGGUAGCGAACGGG
This 253-nucleotide unclassified non-coding RNA is filed under the name uncultured Planctomycetia bacterium. Its description in RNAcentral is "contains 16S-23S intergenic spacer region". It matches the Rfam family "Bacterial small subunit ribosomal RNA", at positions 524 to 776 of the family's 1533-position model. The record is from RNAcentral. Lineage: Bacteria; Pseudomonadati; Planctomycetota; Planctomycetia.